GAUCGUGUUCAUUGCCAUUAUAUCUUACAUUAUACGUACAAUAUAUGUACAUGUAUUUACGCAUCGUUUAGGAAUUGUGUGUUUAUUGACGAGUUGCGAUAGAUAAUAACUUGAAAACCGGAAACGAUAAUUGCGCUCGCUGAGGAGCGACGGAAGAGCGUGUGAGAAGAGAAGAAAAAAAAGAUAAAUAAAUUAAAAAAUACAAAGCUAACGCGAAAAAGAAAAAGAUUAAAAAAAAAAAAAACACUGAGCAGUCAUAAUACACGUAUCGGUAUUAUACGUAUACGUGUAAUAUGGUAUACGCAUGUGCAUACAUACAUAUAAAUAGAUACACGCAAGCACGCUCGCGUAGCGCGCAAACACGGCGUAUGCAAGGUCUAUGGUCCAACGACAGUUUGUUUGCCGCAACAAACAAGACGAGAAACAUACAAUUUUAUAUAAACAAAAUAAACACAUAUAGUUGCGUAUCGCCGAGCAAAAGUCGGCAAGUAAAAUUCAAACGUAUGCGUGUACGUGCGUAUGUGUACCUAUUAAAAAUUUCGGUAUAUAAAAAUGUCUCCCGUCUUACUUUUCGAAAAAUGUCGUGUAUUGUCACAAAGCGUGUACGAAUAUUGAUGCGAAAAUUUGUUUAGUGUUAGAAAAUAAUGAGAGAUAAAUUACUACACAACGUUGGCGAAGUGGAACGACAUAAUAUGUCGUUGAAUCGCGUGACGUCCUAGUGCUGACGAACGUCACGUUGUUUCACGUUGACACGUCCGAAACCGGAUGCGGAAGCGGAACCGGAACCGGAAGUGCGUAUAGGUAUAUCGUACGUUUACGCGCGUAUGACAUAUACGGUCGAAGCCCGAACAAAAAUACCGAGCGACUAGCAGCUGGGGUUGUGGCAUGAGUAGAGACCUGAUUUGCGUCACGAUUGGUCCGUCUGUACCGGCGACUAUCAUAGUAUCUCCCUCCCGCAACGUGCCGUUUACAAGAAUGCAAUCGAUCGUUGUCCCGAGACCAGGGAGAGCCUUAACCUCAAGAACGGUUGCCUGCAGCUCUUCGCUGAACAUCAGUCGCUUGGCCAGAGGUCCUUGACAGGCGUCGACCACUAGCCCGAGAAGAUUACCCAUCCCUUCGCCUGUGGAUAUUGUGAAAUUGUGAACGUUAAUAAAAAAUUUUUGAAA
RNAcentral lists this long non-coding RNA (1166 nucleotides) under Neodiprion lecontei (redheaded pine sawfly). Its description in RNAcentral is "uncharacterized LOC124295081". The record is from RNAcentral. Lineage: Eukaryota; Metazoa; Arthropoda; Insecta; Hymenoptera; Diprionidae.